CGAACGCUGGCGGCAUGCCUAACACAUGCAAGUCGAACGCGACCUUCGGGUCUAGUGGCGCACGGGUGCGUAACGCGUGGGAACCUGCCCUUAGGUUCGGAAUAACUCCCCGAAAGGGGUGCUAAUACCGGAUAAUGUCUUCGAACCAAAGAUUUAUCGCCUUUGGAUGGGCCCGCGUUGGAUUAGCUAGUUGGUAGGGUAAAAGCCUACCAAGGCGACGAUCCAUAGCUGGUCUGAGAGGAUGAUCAGCCACACUGGGACUGAGACACGGCCCAGACUCCUACAGGAGGCAGCAGUGGGGGAUGUUGCACAAUGGGCGAAAGCCUGAUCCAGCAAUGCCGCGUGAGUGAUGAAGGCCUUAGGGUUGUAAAGCUCUUUUACCCGGGAUGAUAAUGACAGUACCGGGAGAAUAAGCGCCGGCUAACUCCGUG
RNAcentral lists this ribosomal RNA (431 nucleotides) under uncultured bacterium. RNAcentral's name for it is "partial 16S ribosomal RNA". It matches the Rfam family "Bacterial small subunit ribosomal RNA", at positions 30 to 507 of the family's 1533-position model. The record is from RNAcentral.